Molecule: ribosomal RNA, 253 nt
Filed under: uncultured bacterium
Lineage: Bacteria
Description: partial 16S ribosomal RNA
Rfam family: Bacterial small subunit ribosomal RNA
Source: RNAcentral
UACGUAGGGUGCGAGCGUUAAUCGGAAUUACUGGGCGUAAAGCGUGCGCAGGCGGUUCGUUGUGUCGGUGGUGAAAGCCCCGGGCUUAACCUGGGAAUGGCCAUGGAAACUGGCGAACUGGAGUGUGGCAGAGGGGGGUGGAAUUCCGCGUGUAGCAGUGAAAUGCGUAGAGAUGCGGAGGAACACCAGUGGCGAAGGCGGCGACCUGGACGGACACUGACGCUGAGACGCGAAAGCGUGGGGAGCAAACAGG